UACGUAGGGGGCAAGCGUUGUCCGGAAUCAUUGGGCGUAAAGAGCGUGUAGGCGGUUCAGUAAGUCUGCUGUGAAAGUCCAGGGCUCAACCCUGGGAUGCCGGUGGAUACUGCUGGGCUAGAGUACGGAAGAGGCGAGUGGAAUUCCCGGUGUAGCGGUGAAAUGCGCAGAUAUCGGGAGGAACACCUAUUGCGAAGGCAGCUUACUACGGAUUGAUUGACACUGAGGCACGAAAGCGUGGGGAUCAAACAGG
This 253-nucleotide ribosomal RNA is filed under the name uncultured bacterium. RNAcentral's name for it is "partial 16S ribosomal RNA". It matches the Rfam family "Bacterial small subunit ribosomal RNA", at positions 524 to 776 of the family's 1533-position model. The record is from RNAcentral.